AGCUCUGAAAUAGAGCCAGAAACACUGAGGUUCGAUCCUGAAGUCACAAGGGCUGCAGCAGCAUCAGGACCUUGGACAGACAGCCUGCCCACAGCCACU
Molecule: long non-coding RNA, 99 nt
Organism: Pipistrellus kuhlii (Kuhl's pipistrelle)
Lineage: Eukaryota; Metazoa; Chordata; Mammalia; Chiroptera; Vespertilionidae
Exons: 4
Source: RefSeq, a predicted model, not a curated record